Ictidomys tridecemlineatus (thirteen-lined ground squirrel) is the source of this 453-nucleotide non-coding RNA. The record is from RefSeq and is a predicted model, not a curated record. Lineage: Eukaryota; Metazoa; Chordata; Mammalia; Rodentia; Sciuridae.
CCUGUCCCAGCCCUGUGCGGGCGUCGCUCCUGGAACCUAGAUCCCGUUCUCAACGCAACAGAAGCAGCAGAAGUUCCACCAACUCCGUAGCCCACAGGCUCAGGGCGCAGGCGCACGGCCAGGCGCUGGAUCUUCCUUUGAAAUCUUGCUGGAAGCCUCCAUGACUCUCUAACUGCAGCAUCCUGAAGUCCUGCAGUACCAUGUGAAUGAAGCCAAGGUCUGCUGCCAGCUCAAGCUAACUGGAUCCCUCACACCAUGGCUGCAGAGGCCUUGGAGUUUCUGGGCAUCUGGUCAUGAUAAGACAACUUCCUAGGACUCUCAUGCAAGCUGAGAGGUCCCAUGGUAUCUAAAACAAGUUAUUAUUAUUAUAUCCUGACCUUGUGAUGGUAAACUGCCCCUGAGUUCAAUAUCCAGUACUAAAAAAAAUAAAAAGCAAGUUAUAUACAUCCAAUA